GUUUUCUUGAUAUUUUGGUAUUUAUACAGAUUUUUCAUUCCAUGAGAUAUUCAUUUUAAUCGUCGACAUAAGGAUUCGUGCUAAUGUAUGCCACGUGUAACACGCGUGAUUUGGAUAACAAUGUUUGAAAACAUUAUCGUAUCACGAUAGCUACAUUUGCAAAUCUGUAGUCAGGAAAUAAAUUAGUAUGGGCUCGAACCGGCUCCAGCAAGGUCGGCAAAACAGGGAAUAUCGUCGCUUUGGCAAGUUCCAACGGAAACGGAGUUUUUGACGGAUAUCGAAUGACUCGAGCCUCGGCAAUGUGUUCCACUAGACAAUCCAGCUGUUACACGCCUGCACGCACCGGCUGAACCGAGCGGACAGACACGUUAAAUGCCACUGCACCUUCGCUGCAUUGCGUAUCGGCCUCGUAGGUAAUCAACUUCGCCCGCUUUUGUACAUGGAAAUUGCAUCCCGCUUCGUGUAAAGCGAACAUUCAUUCGGGUACGAGUCGGAGAAAGUUAUUUCCUAUUUGCUUUUGCUGUUUAUUUAUUUGAUGAAAAACGUAAAUUGUUCGACUUUUGAAAGAAAUUCCUGAUAAAAAUAUCGUGAUUGGAAUAAUAAAGAAUUCGUUGCAUCCAAGUAUGUAAUUCUAAUAAUUGUACAAUUGUAGAAUAACUAGUUUUCUGAUUGAGAAAUCAGCAAUCUUCGAUAAAAAGUAAUUACCUAAAAAAGUAGUUAAUGAUAAGAUUUUGACAUUUUAAAUUAUUUAGGAGAAAUAUAUUGACGAAUAACGUAAUACUGUUAAAAUUCUUUUUACAUUAGAAUUUUCCAGAAUGAAAAUUCUUUUCUUAUCGACUCUGCAACGAAGACAAUAACUUUUACUUGUUUAAAAUAUCUAAUUAUUCAAAAGUUCUUGAUAAAUGGUAAAAUAUUCGAGAAAUAGAAACUUUGCAAAGUUUCUGGAUUCAUAAAGCAGAAAUGUAUUGUUCGAUAGAUUAUGAACUUUUGUUCUAUCUUUAUUAUUCAUAAAAUCAAUACUUUUUAUAAAUUUCAAGUAAAUAUAACUGAGAUACAACUUGAGAUACAACGAUAAUAUAGAAAUAAUUCUUUUACUAACUUCUUUUAUUAUUAUUUUUUUAAUAAUAUUUGGUUUUUAAAUUAACGAAUAUGAGUAUGUUAUAAAAUAUAAAUAAAUACAAGCAUAAUUUGCCAGAUCAAACUCUCGUUUCUAAUAAGUUUUCUCAAUCUGUAGUAAAGCAAGAAGAAGGGGUAUUUUGUUAAUAUUUCAUUCGUUUCUUAAAAAUAUUACCAUUUGUUCGCGAAUUUUCCUCGAGAUUUUAUAUUUUUACUCUUGUACAAGUACGAAUGAGAUAAAAAAGACUCUCUUUUAUAAUAUUACAUUAUACAUUAGAUAAAAUAUUUCCAUAAAUUAUUUUUAUUAUUCGUUGAAAUCAUUUUGCAAUAAGCACGAAUAAAAGACAAUGAAAAAUU
Molecule: long non-coding RNA, 1473 nt
Organism: Apis cerana (Asiatic honeybee)
Lineage: Eukaryota; Metazoa; Arthropoda; Insecta; Hymenoptera; Apidae
Source: RefSeq, a predicted model, not a curated record